UACAUGUGGGGCAAGCGUUGUUCGGAAUUACUGGGCAUAAAGGGUGCGUAGGCGGGCUAUUAAGUCAGUGGUGAAAGCCCCAAGCUUAACUUGGGAACUGCCAUUGAUACUGAUGGUCUUGAGUACAUUUGAGGUGGGCGGAAUGUGUCAUGUAGCGGUGAAAUGCUUAGAUAUGACACAGAACACCGAUUGCGAAGGCAGCUCACUAAACUGUAACUGACGCUGAGGCACGAAAGCGUGGGGAGCAAACAGG
This 253-nucleotide ribosomal RNA is filed under the name uncultured bacterium. RNAcentral describes it as "partial 16S ribosomal RNA". It matches the Rfam family "Bacterial small subunit ribosomal RNA", at positions 524 to 776 of the family's 1533-position model. The record is from RNAcentral.